GAUGAACGCUGACAGAAUGCUUAACACAUGCAAGUCAACUUGAACUUCGGUUUGGGUGGCGGACGGGUGGGUAACGCGUAAAGAACUUGCCUCACAGCUAGGGACAACAUUUGGAAACGAAUGCUAAUACCUGAUAUUAUGAUUUUAGGGCAUCCUAGAAUUAUGAAAGCUAUAUGCGCUGUGAGAGAGCUUUGCGUCCCAUUAGCUAGUUGGAGAGGUAACGGCUCACCAAGGCGAUGAUGGGUAGCCGGCCUGAGAGGGUGAACGGCCACAAGGGGACUGAGACACGGCCCUUACUCCUACGGGAGGCAGCAGUGGGGAAUAUUGGACAAUGGACCAAGAGUCUGAUCCAGCAAUUCUGUGUGCACGAUGAAGUUUUUCGGAAUGUAAAGUGCUUUCAGUUGGGAAGAAAAAAAUGACGGUACCAACAGAAGAAGUGACGGCUAAAUACGUG
RNAcentral lists this ribosomal RNA (454 nucleotides) under uncultured bacterium. RNAcentral describes it as "partial 16S ribosomal RNA". It matches the Rfam family "Bacterial small subunit ribosomal RNA", at positions 28 to 507 of the family's 1533-position model. The record is from RNAcentral.